Molecule: ribosomal RNA, 301 nt
Filed under: uncultured bacterium
Lineage: Bacteria
Description: partial 16S ribosomal RNA
Rfam family: Bacterial small subunit ribosomal RNA
Source: RNAcentral
CAGUAGCCGCGGUAAUACGUAGGUGGCAAGCGUUGUCCGGAAUUAUUGGGCGUAAAGCGCGCGCAGGCGGUUAGAUAAGUCUGAAGUUAAAGGCUGUGGCUCAACCAUAGUACGCUCUGGAAACUGUUUAACUUGAGUGCAAGAGGGGAGAGUGGAAUUCCAUGUGUAGCGGUGAAAUGCGUAGAUAUAUGGAGGAACACCGGUGGCGAAAGCGGCUCUCUGGCUUGUAACUGACGCUGAGGCUCGAAAGCGUGGGGAGCAAACAGGAUUAGAUACCCCGGUAGUCCCUGUCUCUUAUACA